Molecule: long non-coding RNA, 325 nt
Filed under: Homo sapiens (human)
Lineage: Eukaryota; Metazoa; Chordata; Mammalia; Primates; Hominidae
Description: HSALNT0319855
Source: RNAcentral
AAACAUUGAUCCUCACAUCUGCUCUGUCAAACUAAGCAACCUAUAGGUCUAGCCGGGCGCGGUGGCUCACGCCUGUAAUCCCAGCACUUUGGGAGGCCAAGGCGGGCGGAUCACGAGGUCAGGAGAUUGAGACCAUCCUGGCUAACACGGUGAAACCCCGUCUGUACCAAAAGAAUACAAAAAAUUAGCCAGGCAUGGUGGCGAGCUACUCAGGAGGCUGAAGCAGGAGAAUGGCGUGCACCCGGGAGGCGGAGCUUGCAGUGAGCCGAGAUCCCACCACUGCACUUCAACCUGGGCAACAGAGCGAGACUCUGUCUCAAAAAAG